UGGGGAAUCUUCCGCAAUGGACGAAAGUCUGACGGAGCAACGCCGCGUGAGUGAUGACGGUCUUCGGAUUGUAAAGCUCUGUUAAUCGGGACGAAUGGUUUGUGUGCAAAUAGUGCAUAGACAUGACGGUACCGGAAUAGAAAGCCACGGCUAACUACGUGCCAGCAGCCGCGGUAAUACGUAGGUGGCAAGCGUUGUCCGGCAUUAUUGGGCGUAAAGCGCGCGCAGGCGGACUAGCCAGUCAGUCUUAAAAGUUCGGGGCUUAACCCCGUGAUGGGAUGGAAACUACUAGGCUAGAGUAUCGGAGAGGAAAGUGGAAGUCCUAGUGUAGCUGUGAAAUGCGUAGAUAUUAGGAAGAACACCAGUUGCGAAGGCGACUUUCUGGACGAACACUGACGCUGAGGCGCGAAAGCAAGGAGAGCGAACAGG
Molecule: ribosomal RNA, 429 nt
Filed under: Verrucomicrobiota bacterium
Lineage: Bacteria; Pseudomonadati; Verrucomicrobiota
Description: Verrucomicrobia bacterium partial 16S ribosomal RNA
Rfam family: Bacterial small subunit ribosomal RNA
Source: RNAcentral